Hibiscus syriacus is the source of this 142-nucleotide small nucleolar RNA. RefSeq annotates it as small nucleolar RNA snoR135. The transcript has a single exon. The record is from RefSeq and is a predicted model, not a curated record. Lineage: Eukaryota; Viridiplantae; Streptophyta; Magnoliopsida; Malvales; Malvaceae.
GGAGCAGGAAUAGUGUGUAUCGAGGUUGUGCAAACUUUCCAGUGCACUCUGUUAGUUUCCUUCAAAAUUGAUUUGGUGAAGGUGGACAGUUGUGCUUCAUAUCUAUAUUUGAUUCUUUUGGACAAUCAUCUUCCCCAUAUUC